GAUGAACGCUGGCGGCGUGCCUAAUACAUGCAAGUCGAGCGAAUGGAUUAAGAGCUUGCUCUUAUGAAGUUAGCGGCGGACGGGUGAGUAACACGUGGGUAACCUGCCCAUAAGACUGGGAUAACUCCGGGAAACCGGGGCUAAUACCGGAUAACAUUUUGAACCGCAUGGUUCGAAAUUGAAAGGCGGCUUCGGCUGUCACUUAUGGAUGGACCCGCGUCGCAUUAGCUAGUUGGUGAGGUAACGGCUCACCAAGGCAACGAUGCGUAGCCGACCUGAUAGGGUGAUCGGCAACACUGGGACUGAGACACGGCCCAGACUCCUACGGGAGGCAGCAGUAGGGAAUCUUCCGCAAUGGACGAAAGUCUGACGGAGCAACGCCGCGUGAGUGAUGAAGGCUUUCGGGUCGUAAAACUCUGUUGUUAGGGAAGAACAAGUGCUAGCUGAAUAAGCUGGCACCUUGACGGUACCUAACCAGAAAGCCACGGCUAACUACGUGCCAGCAGCCGCCGUAA
RNAcentral lists this ribosomal RNA (515 nucleotides) under uncultured bacterium. RNAcentral's name for it is "partial 16S ribosomal RNA". It matches the Rfam family "Bacterial small subunit ribosomal RNA", at positions 28 to 523 of the family's 1533-position model. The record is from RNAcentral.